This 396-nucleotide unclassified non-coding RNA is filed under the name Hevea brasiliensis (rubber tree). Lineage: Eukaryota; Viridiplantae; Streptophyta; Magnoliopsida; Malpighiales; Euphorbiaceae. The record is from RNAcentral.
UGCUGAGAAAUCAGAACCCAAUGUAGACAUCUUGUUUAAAGGUCUGCUUGGAUGCAUGUAAGUAGACUUAGAAGACUUGCCACCAAUGUUGCCAUUAGACUUCAUUGAGUUCAAACCAUUGGCCUUGGAAAAACUAGGACCUGAAUUGUAUUUUCUAUUUCCAGAACCACUAUUGCCAUUUGAGACAUCUCCAACACAUGUUGAAUCCCAUGAAUAACAAGGCAUGGACUCUGAUCCAUAGGAAACUGGACGCGGAAGGUAACCAGGAGAAGAAAAAAAUUGUUGCUGCCCAUCUACCCCAACUACUGUCCCAGAAGCAUAUGGACUAUAGCCAGGUAAAUAAUAGACAAGUGAUCCGUUGUCUGAUUGCAUUCCCAUAUGAGAUCCAUCUGCUUG